AAUCCCGUGCGAUGAGAUGUCCCAGACCUAUGUAAAGUUCCUUCGAAGAGUCGAGUUGUUUGGGAAUGCAGCUCUAAGUGGGUGGUAAAUUCCAUCUAAAGCUAAAUAUUGGCGAGAGACCGAUAGCGAACAAGUACAGUGAUGGAAAGAUGAAAAGAACUUUGAAAAGAGAGUGAAAAAGUACGUGAAAUUGUUGAAAGGGAAGGGCUUGAGAUCAGACUUGGUAUUUUGUAUGUUACUCUCUCGGGGGUGGCCUCUACAGUUUACCGGGCCAGCAUCAGUUUGAGCGGUAGGAUAAGUGCAAAGAAAUGUGGCACUGCUUCGGUAGUGUGUUAUAGUCUUUGUCGAUACUGCCAGCUUAGACUGAGGACUGCGGCUUCGGCCUAGGAUGUUGGCAUAAUGAUCUUAAGUCGCCCGUCUUGAAACACGGACCAAGGAGUCUAACGUCUAUGCGAGUGUUUGGGUGUAAAACCCGUACGCGUAAUGAAAGUGAACGUAGGUAGGACCUCCUUUAGGAGUGCACUAUCGACCGAUCCUGAUGUCUUCGGAUGGAUUUGAGUAAGAGCAUAGCUGUUGGGACCCGAAAGAUGGUGAACUAUGCCUGAAUAGGGUGAAUCCAGAGGAAACUCUGGUGGAGGCUCGUAGCGGUUCUGACGUGCAAAUCGAUCGUCGAAUUUGGG
RNAcentral lists this ribosomal RNA (680 nucleotides) under Lodderomyces parapsilosis. RNAcentral describes it as "Candida parapsilosis partial large subunit ribosomal RNA". It matches the Rfam family "Eukaryotic large subunit ribosomal RNA", at positions 217 to 915 of the family's 3401-position model. The record is from RNAcentral. Lineage: Eukaryota; Fungi; Ascomycota; Pichiomycetes; Serinales; Debaryomycetaceae.